RNAcentral lists this long non-coding RNA (1703 nucleotides) under Vitis vinifera (wine grape). RNAcentral describes it as "long non-coding RNA (VVIN_LNC007633)". Lineage: Eukaryota; Viridiplantae; Streptophyta; Magnoliopsida; Vitales; Vitaceae. The record is from RNAcentral.
AAGAUUACAAAGAAUUGGGAGUACCUGAUUGAAGCUGUUAUUGUUGUACAAUCUCAUCUAUUUCCACAUAGGGGAUGUGGCCAAUCUUGGGCCAAUCAUUUCCUUUGCCCUUGAGGCACCUCUUUUUUAGAAUAGGACACUCCCGGAUUACAAGUCUUGCAAGUGUUGGUGGUAGCCCUUCCUUUGGCACAAAAGACCGGAGCUUAGGGCAACUGUAGAAUUCAAGACUUUUAAGAGACAUAAGGCUUCGGAGACCCAUGGAGGUUACGGAUUUCAAGUUGUGGAGAUUUACCAACCCGAGAGAGGUGAGAGAUGUAGGAAGAAGUAGGUGAGAGCCGGAAAAAGAAAGCAGAUCUGGGAAUGGGCCAUGAAUCCCGAGCUCAUCAAGUGAGGUGAGUGUGCGGAGGCCCCACCCAGAUAGAGGCCACCUCAUAUUCCCAUAAUCUGAAAUAAGAAGUUGUUUAAGGUUGGGGUUCAAAAACGCUUCUGGAGAGGACACCACAUCUGGACAAUUACAUAUGGUCAGAAGUCGAAGAGAUGUGAGAUUUUCCAGCAGAUUCCCUGGAAUCGACUCCAAUUGCUCGCAGUUCCAAAUGGUAAGCGUCUCAAGUGUGGAGGGAAAGUAGCCUCUCGGAAUGGACUUGAGAGAUGAACAUCCCCAUACACGUAGAUAUUCAAGACGACAAGUGUUGUUGUUGUCAAUUCCCUCAGGUAGAGACUCUAGUUUCUCACAAUUUUCAAUUAGCAGGUUCUUAAGGGUGACAGGUAGCUCCCCUUUCGGAAAGCCAAUAAGAGAUGGACAAUCUCUAAUUACCACCUGCUCAAGGGCACAACUGUCAAUCAUCAUUCCAUCAGGUAGUGUCUCUAGACCCUCACAAUUUCUCACACUAAGAUCUCUUAGCAUGGGCGGCAAACCUGUCUCUGGGAAUGACACGAGUUUCGGGCAAUUAUGAAUUAUCGUAUAUGCAAGAGAUGUGAGGGUGUGCAAUGCAUUUGGCAGCUUCUCUAAGUUGGAGCAUCCCUUCACUUCCAAGUAUUGAAGAUUGCAAGGCAGCCCUUGCUCUUCCAACGAUACAACCCCAUCACACCCAUCGAUCCAUAAACGUCGCAGACCACCAAGGUUUUCCAGUCCAAAUCCAGGCUUCCUCAAACAUGCCAACUCAUCACAUUCAGUUAUUCCCAGAUCUUCAAGGACCAUUAAGCGUUGUGCAAGCCUUUCCCAUAAACAACUCAGCCUCGAAAUUCCCCAAAUGUAUAAUUGGGUAAGUGAGGGGACAUCACCAUCCCAACUUUUUAACGACCCAACUACUAUUAAUUCAGUAAGAAGUGGAAGUCGUGGAAUUGACAUUUCCAGUUCUUGGCAUUCUCUGACAUGAAGCGUCACAAGGGAAGGUAACUCAUGAGGUAAGUUGAUCAAUUUUGGACAUCUUAUGAUUUUAAGCUCACGAAGGCAAGGAAACAAUGUUUUAGUUUCCUCAUGUCCCAAUUUGGGAAUUAACCAAUUGUUCCAUUCUGCCAUAUUCUCAAAUCUCAGAGAUUCCAAAGACUGAAAAGGGUUUGCGGUAUCCCCAUAGAACCCAUCACCUAUGCUUUUAACUUGAUUCAUUCCUUCAAUCACCAAGUCUCUGAGGAAGGUAAACCCCCAAGUGCUGGCAAUGAUGUGCAAUUUUUACAAUUUGUAAGUUCCAAACAAACCAUUUUGG